This 492-nucleotide ribosomal RNA is filed under the name uncultured bacterium. RNAcentral describes it as "partial 16S ribosomal RNA". It matches the Rfam family "Bacterial small subunit ribosomal RNA", at positions 29 to 507 of the family's 1533-position model. The record is from RNAcentral.
AGUGAACGCUGGCGGUAGGCCUAACACAUGCAAGUCGAACGGCAGCACAGUAAGAGCUUGCUCUUACGGGUGGCGAGUGGCGGACGGGUGAGGAAUACAUCGGAAUCUACUUUUUCGUGGGGGAUAACGUAGGGAAACUUACGCUAAUACCGCAUACGACCUACGGGUGAAAGCAGGGGAUCUUCGGACCUUGCGCGAUUGAAUGAGCCGAUGUCGGAUUAGCUAGUUGGCGGGGUAAAGGCCCACCAAGGCGACGAUCCGUAGCUGGUCUGAGAGGAUGAUCAGCCACACUGGAACUGAGACACGGUCCAGACUCCUACGGGAGGCAGCAGUGGGGAAUAGUGGACAAUGGGCGCAAGCCUGAUCCAGCCAUACCGAGUGGGUGAAGAAGGCCUUCGGGUUGUAAAGCCCUUUUGUUGGGAAAGAAAAGCAGCAGGUUAAUACCCCGCUGUUCUGACGGUACCCAAAGAAUGAGCAUCGGCUAACUUCGUG